CACAUAUAUAAUAGUAACUUAUUCCAUUUUCAAGACGUGGUCCAUGCUCUCAUGGAAACACACGUUCAAAACAUCUAGUCCCUAUUGCUAGUUGAACAUAAGAACUCUACAGAGAGUAGAAGACUUUCUUUUGAGCUUUCAUCAAUGGCAGAUGGGUCUCGAUCUCGAUAUGAAGUUGGAAAAAGAAGCAACGAGACUUUCAACAUUAAUAAUAAUGAUAUCUCCGCAAUUAGAAGCAAAAAGGUUGGGAUUCGCAA
This is a long non-coding RNA of Prunus avium (sweet cherry), 257 nucleotides long. RefSeq lists it as uncharacterized. NCBI's taxonomy places the organism in Eukaryota, Viridiplantae, Streptophyta, Magnoliopsida, Rosales, Rosaceae. The record is from RefSeq and is a predicted model, not a curated record.